Molecule: ribosomal RNA, 321 nt
Filed under: uncultured eukaryote
Lineage: Eukaryota
Description: partial 18S ribosomal RNA
Rfam family: Eukaryotic small subunit ribosomal RNA
Source: RNAcentral
CCCUUAGACGUUCUGGGCCGCACGCGCGCUACACUGACCAGUGCAACAAGCAUCCGUCCUUGGCCGACAGGCCCGGGCAAUCUUUGAACGCUGGUCGUGAUGGGGAUAGACUUUUGCAAUUUUUGGUCUUCAACGAGGAAUUCCUAGUAAACGCAAGUCAUCAACUUGCAUUGAUUACGUCCCUGCCCUUUGUACACACCGCCCGUCGCACCUACCGAUUGGAUGGUCCGGUGAAAUCUUCGGAUAGCUGGUAGUUGGCUUGCCAUCUGCUGCUAAAAGUUGCUUAAACCUUAUCAUCUAGAGGAACAAGAAGUCGUAACA